Molecule: long non-coding RNA, 210 nt
Filed under: Rattus norvegicus (Norway rat)
Lineage: Eukaryota; Metazoa; Chordata; Mammalia; Rodentia; Muridae
Description: long non-coding RNA NONRATT024092
Source: RNAcentral
ACCACACACAUUUAUUUAAAUAAAAGUGAACGCAGGUGCAGGCUGGUGGGAGGCAAGGGGCAAAGGUGGUGCUACGUCCUGGCCCUGCCGCGCCAGCAGAGGGUUGUAAUCCUUUCCAUCAUAGUUUGCGUCAAAGAAUUUCUUAAACCACUGAAUAAACUCAAAAUUAUCUUGGAAUUUUCCUUUCACUAAUUUCUCUACGGGAAUGAU